CUAAGGUCUGGGAGAUAAUCUAAUCAAGACAAUGUGUAUUCCUUAUUUUACUGGUGUCUGUGUCCUUUUGUAUUUCCCUUUACUGCCCCUGUUGUCUCUGGGAUGCAGAUUAAGGGGGCGGUUUGUAUCCCAAUAUCUUCUUUUAUGUUAAUGUGUGUUUUGCUGGAUAUAUCCAGCCGUCUGUGUCUAAAAUAAAUCAGUUCUCCUCUUGUUGUACCUAAA
This is a long non-coding RNA of Spea bombifrons (plains spadefoot toad), 222 nucleotides long. RefSeq lists it as uncharacterized. NCBI's taxonomy places the organism in Eukaryota, Metazoa, Chordata, Amphibia, Anura, Pelobatidae. The record is from RefSeq and is a predicted model, not a curated record. The transcript is spliced from 2 exons.